RNAcentral lists this unclassified non-coding RNA (1190 nucleotides) under Hevea brasiliensis (rubber tree). The record is from RNAcentral. Lineage: Eukaryota; Viridiplantae; Streptophyta; Magnoliopsida; Malpighiales; Euphorbiaceae.
GAAUGAGAUCAUGCUAAAAGUCAAAACUAAUGAACCUUAUGUGCACAUAACAAAAACAGAAGGUUACUACAGGUAGAAUCUAAGUAAACUAAAGGGGGGAAUCAUUAAUUCAAAUCUAUUAAUUUUUCUUUAAAAAGCAUGGGAAGAGAAAAUUGAAAUAAAAAUCUCAGUGGACCUUUUUUUGUUUUUCUAUUCUGAUAAUUCCAAUGAAUUCAAAGAAUCUUAGAGAGUAUGAAGCACUACAAAAUCAUGGACUAUAAUAUAAUGAGUUGCUGCACUGGUAAACGUGUUGAGACUAUAAUUUGUUACCAGGGCUAAUGAAUCCUUUCUCAUACUAAUGUCUGCACAAAAAAGACAUUAAAAAAAAUCUCAAUUAGAUUGAAUGACCACAUACUCCAAUUAGGUAACUACAUGAGUAGGAGCUCAGUGUGUAUAUGAUAGAGAGGCAGAGAGAUAAUAGUAAAUAUGUUGGAGAAUAGAGAUAAUAGUUGUAAUUAGAAUAAAAAAACGCAGCCUUUUGGGCUAUUGAGAUAUAAAUGAUAGCAAAUAAAGUUGGCAGUUUCAGUUGCAGCAAAUUGAACUACAGACCUUCAGUUGUAAAAAGUGAUGCUCUACCAUUGAGCUGUAGGGACUUCCGUGUCCUAUGUUUCUGUGAUAUUUUAUUGUCCAUUGAUUAAUGGGAUCUUUACAAAAGCAACAGGUUCCUAUGAGUGACAGCCAAGGAAAACUAAAUAUAAAAAUGGUUUCUGCAAUACUUUAUUCUGCCAUAGGCUAAAGGGUCCACAGACAGAUCUACGAAAUAAAAAGGCAGCCAUGUAUUACAUGGUAGCGAACACAAAAACACUAAAAAGGUCCCCAUGUAGAAUCGAACUACAGCCCUUCAGUUUUAAAGACUGACUCUCUACCAUUGAGCUAUAGGGACUUGCUUUGUAAUUCCCUAAAAUAUUUUAUUAUACCAUUGAAUGAGAACAUGCUAGAAGUCAAAACUAAAGAUCCUUAUGUAAGCAUAACAAAAACUGACGGUUCCUAUAUUAAGCUCCAGUCAGCAUAGGCAAGUCAGUAGAUGGCCAUGUGGUUAUUAUUAUUGACAGAAAUUUCUAUCAGUUUUCUGUCAGUAAUUCAUAUAAAAAUAGCAUCUAAUAAUAAUAGAGAAGGCUUGUAACUGAAAUCCAUUAUCAGAAUUAAUACAA